This 253-nucleotide ribosomal RNA is filed under the name uncultured bacterium. Its description in RNAcentral is "partial 16S ribosomal RNA". It matches the Rfam family "Bacterial small subunit ribosomal RNA", at positions 524 to 776 of the family's 1533-position model. The record is from RNAcentral.
GACGUAGGGCGCAAGCGUUGUCCGGAUUUAUUGGGCGUAAAGAGCGUGUAGGCGGCUAGAUAGGUCCGUUGUGAAAACUCGAGGCUCAACCUCGAGACGCCGGUGGAAACCAUCUAGCUAGAGUCCGGAAGAGGAGAGUGGAAUUCCUGGUGUAGCGGUGAAAUGCGCAGAUAUCAGGAAGAACACCCGUGGCGAAGGCGGCUCUCUGGUACGUGACUGACGCUGAGACGCGAAAGCGUGGGGAGCGAACAGG